AUUUUUUUAUAUAUUUUUGGUUUUUUUUUCCGUUCAGUAUUUUCUUUAUUUUUCGUUUGUUUUUUAUUUAUUAUUUUUCUUUUAAAUUUUUUAUAUAUUUAUGUAAUACUUUUAAAAUAUUACAUUUCUUCAUAACAAUAAUUACUUUUAAAAUUAGUUGUGUAUUUGAUAAAUGGAGAAUGAGUCCUAUAAAAGUGAAGAUUAAUUGUAAGAGUAAUAAUGAGUGCAAUUAUUUCUAAAAGUAGGUUAGAAUGAUGUUUUGAUGACGGAUCAAAAUAGAAAGAGAUAAAGAUAUUUGAGGAACGGAUGAAGUAUUUAAU
RNAcentral lists this long non-coding RNA (320 nucleotides) under Salvia miltiorrhiza (redroot sage). RNAcentral describes it as "long non-coding RNA (SMIL_LNC004357)". Lineage: Eukaryota; Viridiplantae; Streptophyta; Magnoliopsida; Lamiales; Lamiaceae. The record is from RNAcentral.